This 440-nucleotide ribosomal RNA is filed under the name uncultured bacterium. Its description in RNAcentral is "partial 16S ribosomal RNA". It matches the Rfam family "Bacterial small subunit ribosomal RNA", at positions 338 to 795 of the family's 1533-position model. The record is from RNAcentral.
CCUACGGGAGGCUGCAGUGGGGGAUAUUGCACAAUGGGGGGAACCCUGAUGCAGCGACGCCGCGUGUGGGAAGACGGUCCUCUGGAUUGUAAACCACUGUCCCCAGGGAGGAAAAUGACGGUACCUGGGGAGGAAGCUCCGGCUAACUACGUGCCAGCAGCCGCGGUAAUACGUAGGGGUCGAGCGUUGUCCGGAAUUACUGGUGGUAAAGGGAGCGUAGGCGGGGAUGCAAGGUGGGUGGAAAAACUACGGGCUAAACUUGUAGUCGCACUGAAAACUGUGGCUCUUGAGUGAGGUAGAGGCAGGCGGAAUUCCUAGUGUAGCGGUGAAAUGCGUAGAUAUUAGGAGGAACACCGGUGGCGAAGGCGGCCUGCUGGGCUUUUACUGACGCUGAGGCUCGAAAGUGUGGGGAGCAAACAGGAUUAGAUACCCUUGUAGUC